Non-coding RNA from Acyrthosiphon pisum (pea aphid), 103 nucleotides. Lineage: Eukaryota; Metazoa; Arthropoda; Insecta; Hemiptera; Aphididae. The record is from Rfam.
UCAAGAUGGGAAUCGGCGACUAUCCUGCCGAAUACAACCCAAAAGUCCAUGGACCGUACGAUCCUGCUCGUUAUUACGGCACACCCGACAAACCUUUUGGGCA